UCCCCGUUGACGCAAUUGGUUAGCGUGUCAGACUUUUACAAACAAAUGAAAUCUGAAAGUUGAGAGUUCGAGUCUCUCACGGGGAG
This is a transfer RNA of Fusarium oxysporum, 86 nucleotides long. It matches the Rfam family "tRNA". From Rfam's summary of the family: Transfer RNA (tRNA) molecules are approximately 80 nucleotides in length. Their secondary structure includes four short double-helical elements and three loops (D, anti-codon, and T loops). Further hydrogen bonds mediate the characteristic L-shaped molecular structure. tRNAs have two regions of fundamental functional importance: the anti-codon, which is responsible for specific mRNA codon recognition, and the 3' end, to which the tRNAs corresponding amino acid is attached (by aminoacyl-tRNA synthetases). tRNAs cope with the degeneracy of the genetic code in two manners: having more than one tRNA (with a specific anti-codon) for a particular amino acid; and 'wobble' base-pairing, i.e. permitting non-standard base-pairing at the 3rd anti-codon position. The record is from Rfam. Lineage: Eukaryota; Fungi; Ascomycota; Sordariomycetes; Hypocreales; Nectriaceae.